UACGGAGGGUGCAAGCGUUAUCCGGAUUCACUGGGUUUAAAGGGUGCGUAGGUGGGCAAGUAAGUCAGUGGUGAAAUCUCCGGGCUUAACCCGGAAACUGCCACUGAUACUAUUUGUCUUGAAUACUGUGGAGGUCAGCGGAAUAUGUCAUGUAGCGGUGAAAUGCUUAGAUAUGACAUAGAACACCAAUUGCGAAGGCAGCUGGCUACACAAAUAUUGACACUGAGGCACGAAAGCGUGGGGAUCAAACAGG
This 253-nucleotide ribosomal RNA is filed under the name uncultured bacterium. RNAcentral describes it as "partial 16S ribosomal RNA". It matches the Rfam family "Bacterial small subunit ribosomal RNA", at positions 524 to 776 of the family's 1533-position model. The record is from RNAcentral.